AGAGUUUGAUCCUGGCUCAGGACGAACGCUGGCGGCGCACCUAAGACAUGCAAGUCGGACGAUCGGGAGACCGAUAGUGGCGGACGGGUGAGUAACACGUGGGCGACCUGCCCUGCAGUGGGGGAUAACAGGGGGAAACCUCUGCUAAGACCGCAUGCGAGCGUGGCCAUAGGGGGCCACGGGGAAAAGCCGAGAGGCUGCUGCAGGAGGGGCCCGCGGCGGAUUAGCUAGUUGGGGGGGUAGCGGCCCACCAAGGCGACGAUCCGUAGCUGGUCUGAGAGGACGGCCAGCCACACCGGGACUGAGAGACGGCCCGGACUCCUACGGGAGGCAACAGUUAGGGAACUUUCACACUGGGCGCAAGCCUGAUGGAGUGACGCCGCGUGCAGGAGGAAGGCCUUCGGGUCGUAAACUGCUUUUGUGGGGGACGAGGAUGACGGUACCCCACGAAGAAGCCCCGGCUAACUACGUGCCAGCAGCCGCGGUAAUACGUAGGGGGCGAGCGUUGUCCGGAAUUACUGGGCGUAAAGCGCGCGUAGGCGGCCCGGCGCAUCUAUAGUGAAAGCCCUCGGCUCAACCGAGGGAGGCCUAUGGAGAUGACCGGGCUGGAGGGCCGCAGAGGCAAGCGGAAGUCCCGAAGUAGUGGUGAAAUGCGUAGAGAUCGGGAGGAACACCCGAGGCGAAGGCGGCUUGCUGGGCGGCACCUGACGCUGAGGCGCGAAAGCUAGGGGAGCGAACGGAAUUAGAUACCCCCGUAGUCC
Molecule: ribosomal RNA, 761 nt
Filed under: uncultured bacterium
Lineage: Bacteria
Description: bacterial SSU rRNA
Rfam family: Bacterial small subunit ribosomal RNA
Source: RNAcentral